This is a long non-coding RNA of Microplitis demolitor, 432 nucleotides long. RefSeq lists it as uncharacterized. The record is from RefSeq and is a predicted model, not a curated record. The transcript has 3 exons. Lineage: Eukaryota; Metazoa; Arthropoda; Insecta; Hymenoptera; Braconidae.
ACAGCGUUAUCUACAAUGACUUCGAUGAAUAUAAAUAGAGCUUUUCGGCAAUACCCGGACACUCUUCAAAUCUCCUUGGUAUUGUCAACUUCUUCGUUUUGGUUAUACCUCUUUAACGUGUCAUUUCGAAAUGAAAUUUCUCCAGUUAUUUAUCUUCUUCACUUUUUUCAUUUCUGUCACUUUGGCGCAGACAUAUGAAGGAUGCAAGAUGUCCGGUAGAUGUGAUAAAAAUUUGAAGAGGGGAUCGCCUUGCUGCGAUGACUAUAAAUGCACGCAUAUAUAUAACCAAUUGUAUCAGUGCAUAUCAACAGCCCCUAAGUCAGAAGACGAUUAUUUAUGGGGGUAGUUAAAAUGUACACCAUUAUGUACUUAUUAUAGCCAACAGCUAUAAAUAUUACAUACACACGAGAUAAAUAAAGCUCAAUUGAAAUG